Molecule: long non-coding RNA, 1246 nt
Filed under: Musa acuminata (dwarf banana)
Lineage: Eukaryota; Viridiplantae; Streptophyta; Magnoliopsida; Zingiberales; Musaceae
Description: long non-coding RNA (MACU_LNC006414)
Source: RNAcentral
GCUUUUAAUAAGUCCAUCUAGAUAUAUGUAGACAUAUGUAGAACAAAUCUAGUGUCUACAACGGCAACAAAAAAUGUAAACUCCAUCUAAUUAGGGUAAGUUAUAUUGUUCUUUUUUUGAACUUAUCAACGGUUUGAGUCAUCGAAAUAGCCUUCUUACUUGUAAUAGUAAAACUGCAUAGUUGUUAAAUCAUGCAAUGGUGAGAGCCUCAUGCAUUGACUAAUAUCUUUUUAAUGGAAACAUUCCUUAUAAUUUUCUUUUCUACUAGCCGUAAACGUCAUUCUCAAUAUUCUAAUUUGAAGGAUACUAGCUUUUUGGAUAAUUCUAUUUCUUAAGCACUUGACAUUCUGAUCCAUGGAGUGUGGCAAGUAUUACAUCUAUCUUGAAGCUUUUUUUCCCCUUUAAUUUAAGAGGGCACACAAAUAUCGUACAUUAUGCCAAACACCCUUCUCUGCUUUGACUGUCAGGGUCUACCAUAUGAAUAAUAUUUACUUUCGUUGCUGCCUUCCAUUGGAUGGUAGAUUCAUUGUUUUGAAAACUUGGCUUUUGGGUGCCCCUUUCCCUUUUUCAUCGAUUCCAAUUAUAGGUUUGCUUGAUCUUAAAUAUCUAGUUAGCUUAAAACCGAAGAGAACCUUGUAAAAUGGAAUGUUCUCUCUUAUUCAAAAUUGAGCUUUCAAGAGCUUAGGAUUAGAGCACAAGUGGCCUUUUAAGAGUUUAGGAUUCUUGUAGGUUCCAAUUAUGAGUUAUUGGAGUUUGCCAAUUGGGAUUGUGACAAUCUUUGCAUGGUUGUUUAAGUGGAACUAGAAUGUCAUUAGGUUAUUGAGAUUCCAAGUAUAUCAGGUUGUAGGUGAGUUUCAAAACUAUAGGCAGGUGGAACUUCAAAAACCGGCAAGUAUAUAUGUCAGGAAAACACCGAUGGCUGUGGAUAUGAUGCAGGUAAGAAACUUUGUAUAUAAUUCAUGGUAAAUAGAAGUGGAUGGUAUGGAGGUGGAUGGUGUAGAUAUAAAGCAAGGAUGGAAAAGUUAAGGCUGAGCUUGAAGGAUGAAAAAUGCACCACUGACUCUAGCAUCACAUGCAGGAGAAGCAGAUGAAAAUUUUGAAAUUAUGAAACUCAAAUUCAUUAAUUCAAAUUUGACUGAACAUAGUUUCUUCCUCUAUCUAAUAUAAGUCUAUUGUGUGUCAUGUACGUUCCUGCAUUGGUUAAGUUUGAGUUUCUAAUUGGCCAAAGCCUUGAUGAAUUGUUUGU